Molecule: ribosomal RNA, 397 nt
Filed under: uncultured bacterium
Lineage: Bacteria
Description: partial 16S ribosomal RNA
Rfam family: Bacterial small subunit ribosomal RNA
Source: RNAcentral
AUACGUAGGUGGCAAGCGUUGUCCGGAUUUACUGGGUGUAAAGGGCGUGCAGCCGGGGAAGCAAGUCAGGUGUGAAAUGCAGAGGCUUAACCUCUGACUUGCAUUUGAAACUGUUUUUCUUGAGUACUGGAGGGGCAAUCGGAAUUCCUAGUGUAGCGGUGAAAUGCGUAGAGAUUGGGAGGAACACCAGUGGCGAAGGCGACUUACUGGACUGUAACUGACGCUGAGGCGCGAAAGUGUGGGGAGCAAACAGGAUUAGAUACCCUGGUAGUCCACACUGUAAACGAUGAAUGCUAGGUGUAGGGGGUAUCGACCCCUUCUGUGCCGCAGUCAACACAAUAAGCAUUCCGCCUGGGGAGUACGGCCGCAAGGUUGAAACUCAAAUGAAUCGACGGGG